Emys orbicularis (European pond turtle) is the source of this 74-nucleotide small nucleolar RNA. RefSeq annotates it as small nucleolar RNA snoR109. Lineage: Eukaryota; Metazoa; Chordata; Testudines; Emydidae. The record is from RefSeq and is a predicted model, not a curated record. The transcript has a single exon.
UGGAAGUAGCCAUAUCAACUCGAAGAGGCUAAUUAAUUAAUUAAUUAAUCUUAAUUAUUUAGCCUCUUAGAGUU